CCUACGGGUGGCAGCAGUCGAGAAUUAUUCACAAUGGGGGAAACCCUGAUGGGGCGACGCCGCGUGGGGGAAUGAAGGUCUGCGGAUUGUAAACCCCUGUCAUGUGGGAGCAAAUUAAAAAGAUAGUACCACAAGAGGAAGAGACGGCUAACGCUGUGCCAGCAGCCGCGGUAAUACAGAGGUCUCAAGCGUUGUUCGGAACCACUGGGCGUAAAGGGUGCGUAGGCUGUUUCGUAAGUCGUGUGUGAAAGGCGCGGGCUCAACCCGCGGACGGCACAUGAUACUGCGAGACUAGAGUAAUGGAGGGGGAACCGGAAUUCUCGGUGUAGCCGUGAAAUGCGUAGAUAUCGAGAGGAACACUCGUGGCGAAGGCGGGUUCCUGGACAUUAACUGACGCUGAGGCACGAAGGCCAGGGGAGCGAUAGGGAUUAGAUACCCCAGUAGUC
RNAcentral lists this ribosomal RNA (446 nucleotides) under uncultured bacterium. RNAcentral's name for it is "partial 16S ribosomal RNA". It matches the Rfam family "Bacterial small subunit ribosomal RNA", at positions 338 to 795 of the family's 1533-position model. The record is from RNAcentral.